AACGAACGCUGGCGGCAUGCCUAACACAUGCAAGUCGAACGAGACCUUCGGGUCUAGUGGCGCACGGGUGCGUAACGCGUGGGAACCUGCCCUUAGGUUCGGAAUAACUCCCCGAAAGGGGUGCUAAUACCGGAUAAUGUCUUCGGACCAAAGAUUUAUCGCCUUUGGAUGGGCCCGCGUUGGAUUAGCUAGUUGGUAGGGUAAAAGCCUACCAAGGCGACGAUCCAUAGCUGGUCUGAGAGGAUGAUCAGCCACACUGGGACUGAGACACGGCCCAGACUCCUACGGGAGGCAGCAGUGGGGAAUAUUGAACAAUGGGCGAAAGCCUGAUCCAGCAAUGCCGCGUGAGUGAUGAAGGCCUUAGGGUUGUAAAGCUCUUUUACCCGGGAUGAUAAUGACAGUACCGGGAGAAUAAGCUCCGGCUAACUCCGUG
Molecule: ribosomal RNA, 433 nt
Filed under: uncultured bacterium
Lineage: Bacteria
Description: partial 16S ribosomal RNA
Rfam family: Bacterial small subunit ribosomal RNA
Source: RNAcentral